Molecule: ribosomal RNA, 555 nt
Filed under: uncultured bacterium
Lineage: Bacteria
Description: partial 16S ribosomal RNA
Rfam family: Bacterial small subunit ribosomal RNA
Source: RNAcentral
UGGGGAAUAUUGCACAAUGGGCGCAAGCCUGAUGCAGCAACGCCGCGUGAGGGACGACGGCCUUCGGGUUGUAAACCUCUUUUAGUAGGGAAGAAGCGAAAGUGACGGUACCUGCAGAAAAAGCACCGGCUAACUACGUGCCAGCAGCCGCGGUAAUACGUAGGGUGCGAGCGUUGUCCGGAAUUAUUGGGCGUAAAGAGCUCGUAGGCGGUCUGUCGCGUCUGCUGUGAAAACCCGAGGCUCAACCUCGGGCCUGCAGUGGGUACGGGCAGACUAGAGUGCGGUAGGGGAGAAUGGAAUUCCUGGUGUAGCGGUGGAAUGCGCAGAUAUCAGGAGGAACACCGAUGGCGAAGGCAGUUCUCUGGGCCGUAACUGACGCUGAGGAGCGAAAGCGUGGGGAGCGAACAGGAUUAGAUACCCUGGUAGUCCACACCGUAAACGUUGGGCGCUAAGUGUGGGGACCACUCCACGGUUUCCGUGUCGCAGCUAACGCAUUAAGCGCCCGCCUGGGGAGUACGGCCGCAAGGCUAAAACUUAAAUGAACUUGACGGGGUC